RNAcentral lists this ribosomal RNA (497 nucleotides) under uncultured bacterium. Its description in RNAcentral is "partial 16S ribosomal RNA". It matches the Rfam family "Bacterial small subunit ribosomal RNA", at positions 28 to 507 of the family's 1533-position model. The record is from RNAcentral.
GAUGAACGCUGGCGGCGUGCCUAAUACAUGCAAGUCGAGCGAACGGACGAGAAGCUUGCUUCUCUGAUGUUAGCGGCGGACGGGUGAGUAACACGUGGAUAACCUACCUAUAAGACUGGUAUAACUUCGGGAAACCGGAGCUAAUACCGGAUAAUAUUUUGAACCGCAUGGUUCAAAAGUGAGAUACGGUCUUGCUGGCACGUCUAGAUGGAUCCGCGCUGCAUUAGCUAGUUGGUAAGGUAACGGCUUACCAAGGCAACGAUGCAUAGCCGACCUGUGAGGGUGAUCGGCCACAUUGGAAGUGAGACACGGUCCAGACUACUACGGUAGGCAGCAGUAGGCAAUCUUCGGCAAUGGGCGAAAGCCUGGCGGAGCGACGCCAAGUGAGUGAUAACGGCCUUCGGAUCGUAAAACCCUCUUACUAGGGAAGAACCUCUGUGUACGUAAACGUGCACAUAUUGACGGUAAUUAAUAAGAAAGCAACGGCUAACUACGUG